UACGUAGGGGCCCAGCGUUGUCCGGAAUUAUUGGGCGUAAAGGGCGCGUAGGCGGCCCGGUAAGUCAAAGGUGAAAUCCCCCGGCUCAACUGGGGAACUGCAAGGGAAACAGCAGGGCUUGAGUUCGGGAGAGGGAAGCGGAAUUCCGGGUGUAGCGGUGAAAUGCGUAGAUAUCCGGAGGAACACCGGUGGCGAAGGCGGCUUCCUGGACCGAUACUGACGCUGAGGCGCGAAAGCUAGGGGAGCAAACGGG
This 253-nucleotide ribosomal RNA is filed under the name uncultured bacterium. Its description in RNAcentral is "partial 16S ribosomal RNA". It matches the Rfam family "Bacterial small subunit ribosomal RNA", at positions 524 to 776 of the family's 1533-position model. The record is from RNAcentral.